RNAcentral lists this long non-coding RNA (373 nucleotides) under Cairina moschata (Muscovy duck). RNAcentral describes it as "domestica (muscovy Duck (domestic type)) lncRNA (ENSCMMG00000002708.1)". The record is from RNAcentral. Lineage: Eukaryota; Metazoa; Chordata; Aves; Anseriformes; Anatidae.
UUCCUGGAGAUGCUCUUUGGACUCCACCUUCUCAUCGCAAUGAUGAAAAUCUGAUUUGCAUGAUAUUGUACUCUCUACAUUGAAUUCAAGGAACAGUAAAGUUAUAUCCUUGCAGAAUGUUCUUGGUGAAUGACCCUUGCCUGGCUGUGCCAGUACCUCUGGCCAGGUGAAGAAGACUUCCUUUCAAAGCUGCAAGUUCCUGGGAUACCUUGGUGAUUCAGCAGAGCUUUUACCACUGAGGCUGCCAUGCUGUCAUGCGGGACCAUGCCCAAGUGAGACCAACUCCGUGGAAGCACCUGUGAUGGUUUCCAAAACACCUCCUCCCUUCUGGAAAAGAGAGAUUGCUCUAAGCAUGACCCCUCCUGCCUGCUGA